ACUCAAUAACCAUGUACUUGUUUUGCUACAGGAUGGGCAAGAAGGGUCAUUUGAAAAAUGGAGAGUGGAAAACUCCUGGGGCGAAGACCGUGGUAAUAAAGGUUACCUCAUCAUGACAGAUGACUGGUUUUCUGAGUACGUGUAUGAGGUGGUGGUGGAUAAGAAGCAUGUGCCAGAAGAUAUCUUGGCCGUGAUGCAGCAGGAGCCCAUCGUUCUGCCGGCCUGGGACCCUAUGGGGGCAUUAGCCAAGUGAACUGCAGUGUUGGCCUCCUAAUGAUCAACCAGAAGUAGAUGCAAUAGAGGAUCCCAGUGGUUGGAAGCCAUAGCCAAAUGUUCAUGUGACCACGUGCUCGGCAUGGUCCAUAUUCUUGAAAUAUAAGUUAAGGAUCUUUGGAAAAUAGCGCUUUACUGACUGGCUCAAUAAAGGCUCUCAGGCAGGCUACUCUGCAAAACUAAAAAGGGACAAAGGAAAAACUCAUCAUGAAAAAGCAUUAUAAGUGCUUUCAAUGGCCGUUUGAUUUUUAUCUUACUCUUUUAAUGAAAAAAAAGCAUAGUAACUUAGAAUCCUUUUGACUAGUAUUUUCCCUAGAAAAGAUGGCCAUAACAGGCCAUUCUUUAAAGUUAACAGCUAGCUGGUUGUUAAUGAA
Molecule: non-coding RNA, 647 nt
Organism: Tinamus guttatus (white-throated tinamou)
Lineage: Eukaryota; Metazoa; Chordata; Aves; Tinamiformes; Tinamidae
Source: RefSeq, a predicted model, not a curated record